This is a long non-coding RNA of Cyprinus carpio carpio, 2748 nucleotides long. NCBI's taxonomy places the organism in Eukaryota, Metazoa, Chordata, Actinopteri, Cypriniformes, Cyprinidae. The record is from Ensembl.
CACAGAGGAAACAUCAUUCAGCUGUGGAUGUGACACUAACCAUGUGCAUACCUUUGAGAAAACAUUGGCACUACUGAAGAAGGGCUGGUUGGUUGACAUUGUAAUACAGGAUCAAGAAGUCUUGAGAUUGCACGAAGGCUUGAGAAACGGCACAAUCCGAUCCAGCAGGAUAGAGGAUAAUUGAAAGAAUAUACAAGGUAACACAGCUGCCUAGGGUUUCCCUGGACAACACAACUUACGUUCUAUGAGCUAACACUGUUAAUGCUGCAAAAGACUGAGGGCUUUCAUAGGUUCCAGGCAGAAAUGGCUUUACAGUCAAACAUUGCUUUGGAGGUCAAAUGUUCAAAUCCACCAUGGUUUUGAUGGCACUACAUCAGUAGGAGUGUAAUCCUGUAUGAAGAGGGUGGUCCGCUGAACAACUGUACUUUAGGCCCAAAGUUUCACAUUUCUCCUAGUAGUAAGAUCAAUAAUAUCACUGACAUUGAAUACUGUAUGUAAACAUUGUUAUUGAAAUACUGAUUUAGAUACAGUACCGGUCAAAAUUUUGGACACAUUACUAGGCCUACUAGUCUCUUAUCAUCAAGACUGCUUAAAGCCAAUUUGAUCAAAAAUACAGAAAGCACAGUAAUAUUGUGUAAUAUUACAAUUAAAAAUAAUAGUUUUCUAAAUUAAUAUACUUUAAAAUAUAAUUGUUUCCAUGAUUAAAGCUGAAUUUUCACCAACCAUUACUCCAGUCUUCACAUGAUCCUUCAGAAAUCAUUCUAUGAUGAUUUGCUGCUAUUAUCAGUAUUGGAAACAGUUGUGCUGCUUAAUAUUAUUAUUUGUUUUGUGUGAUACUUUUUCAGGAUUCAAUGAUCAAUAAAAAGUUAAAAAGAACAGCAUUUAUUCAAAAUAUAAAUCUUUUCUAACAAUGUAAGUGUUAACGGUCACUUUUCCAAAAUUUAACACAUCUUUGCUGAAUAAAGGUAUUACUUUCUUUCAAAAAAAAUAAAGGAAACAUUACUGACCCCAACUUUUGAACGGUAGUGUAUACUGUUACAAAAUAGUUCUGUUUUAAAUAAAUGCUGUAAUUUUUGACUUUUUAUUCAUUAAACGAAUCCUGAAAAAUGUAUCACAGGUUAUAAAACAAAUAUUAAGCAGCACAACAUUUUUCAGCAUUGAUAAUAAAUCAGCAUAUUGAUUUCUGAAGGAUCAUGUGACACUGAAGACUGGAGUAAUGAUGCUGAAAAUUCGGCUAUGAUCACUGGAAUAAAUUACACUUUAAAGUAUAUUAUGUAUUUGUGUGUGUGUGUAUGUGUGUGUAUAUAUAUAUAUAUAUAUAUAUAUAUAUAUAUAUAUAUGUGUGUGUGUGUUAACGUGAGACUCUUAUAAGAAAAAAAAAAUAUCGCCGUUAAUCUAUUCUCAAAGUUGGGUUGGGAGCUGGGUCUAUACUACGCAAGCUAUUGUGGCAGGUAGAGAUCGGUAAGUUCAUCAUUAGGCAUUAGUUUAUUCAUUGGUUGGGGCCGAUAGAGGGGGUUGGAUUAUGUGUAUAUAAACAACAUGCGUGUGUGACUUAGAUGAGCGUCACUUCAUUCAGGUAACGUUAUGCGUUUUAAUGGCUGUAAUGGUGUGUGGAUUUGCUUGCGUUUCGUUAGUAAUUCAUGCUUUUAUUGUAGUCAAUAUAAUGCUGUGUAUGAGCGGAUGACGACUGUAUAUGCUGAGUUAUUUUCCUUGUGUAUCCUGAGCUCCACCGGCUGAGUGAUUAAACCGAAACUAUACUUCGCAUUGCAUCUAUGGAGUAUUAUCUUCACUUCUACUGACUCCCGGGUCCCUGUGCCUGUUAUCUGGUAGGUCUAAUUCAUGUGGGUUUUAUUACGUAAAUGUUUUAUGGUGACUGGUUAACAUGACUAGUUUUCCCCUAUGUUGUAGAGUGAUAGGGGCACGCAGUGACGUCACCGCUGUCUUGUUCCUGGUUGAACAUUCAUGAAUUUCGUGUUAAUACGGUUGUGAACCCGUUGAGUGUGGGAGUGCUUUUUUUGCAUUCAUAUGGUCCAGUUGUGUUUUGAUUUAAUUUGGUUAAUUCUGUUAUUGUGCGUUUGGCAGGCAUUAAGUGUCAGCUGUGUUGCCUGCCUAAAUCUUGUGUUAAUUAUUUUUGUUGUGUUUGAGUGUGUGUGUGUGUGUGUGUGUGUGCUAUUCUGUUUUACAGGAGCUGCAGACCUUUUAUGGAGAGCAGGGCUGAAGUCUUUCUUUAGGUGGUGAUGGUGUUUCCUCACAGAGUGCUGUGAUUUGCCGUGUGCACUGGGGCUUUUGGAUUGGUGAGCUGCAGACCUUUUAUGGAGAGCAGGGCUGAAGUCUUUCUUUAGGUGGUGAUGGUGUUUCCUCACAGAGUGCUGUGAUUUGCCGUGUGCACUGGGGCUUUUGGAUUGGUGUGAGUGUGCAGUGUACUUAGAGUAAAGGCCUGUACGGCCGGUCAUGUAGCCCAGGCUGCAGCUCCUCAUUGUUGUCCUUUCUGGACCUUUUGUGUAAUUGUGGUCCCAGUCUCUUUUCAGUGAAUGUGUUUUAAAUUUCUGUUGUUAUUGAAUUCAAAAUAAAUUGUUUUAUUUUUAUACCAGUACCUCUGUCUCCAUUGUCUAUUUUGCCACAGAGUGGGGGACCUGUGUAUAGUAUCUUUAAUAAAUUCCUUGGGUGAGAUUCCCAGGGUGGCGUAGUCAGGCAUUGUUAACCCUUUGGGUCCUUAAUUCGAUUUAAGUUCACUUAAGUCAUACCUUC